Molecule: long non-coding RNA, 531 nt
Filed under: Nicotiana tabacum (common tobacco)
Lineage: Eukaryota; Viridiplantae; Streptophyta; Magnoliopsida; Solanales; Solanaceae
Description: long non-coding RNA (NTAB_LNC010226)
Source: RNAcentral
UGAUUUUCCUCGCAAAAGCGAGCACGCAGAAGCGUGGAAGCACUCCGCAGGUGCAAAACUGGGCAGCAACAUAAGGAUUGAACUUGGUCAUUUUUGCCAUUUCGUAUUGGAAAUUUUGGAGCUCGGAUUUAGGCGAUUUUGGAAGGAGUUUUCACAAACUUAGUUGGGGUAAGUGUUCUAUAUCCUAAAGUGUUUAUAUUUUAUGAAUCUAUGAUUAUAUUCAUCGUUUAAUGGAAGAAAUCAAGAUUUUUGUAAAAUUUUCCAAAAACGAAAAUUUAAGAUUUGGAGGUCGAGUUGUUAUCGGAAUUGGAUAAAAUUGGUAUGGUUGAACUCGUAUCAGAAUGGGUGUUUAAAUUUCAUGAAAAUUAUAUCGGGUUCCAAGAGGCGGGCCCCGCGUUGACUUUUGUUGAAUUUUUGGAAUAAAAUUUAAGUCGAGCGUAUUAUUAUCCGAAAUUAUUUUUGAUGAAUUUUAAUGAAGUUGUACAAUUAAUUUGGAUAGAUUUGAGCUGUCUGGAGGUCAAUUCAAACAAG